Molecule: ribosomal RNA, 393 nt
Filed under: uncultured bacterium
Lineage: Bacteria
Description: partial 16S ribosomal RNA
Rfam family: Bacterial small subunit ribosomal RNA
Source: RNAcentral
AUACGGAGGAUGCAAGCGUUAUCCGGAUUUAUUGGGUUUAAAGGGUGCGUAGGCGGGCUGUUAAGCGUGAGGUGAAAGCUCGGGGCUCAACCCCGGAACUGCCUCGCGAACUGGCGGUCUUGAAUGUCCGUGCCGUGGGAGGAAUGUGUGGUGUAGCGGUGAAAUGCAUAGAGAUCACACAGAACACCGAUUGCGAAGGCAGCUUACGAAGCGACAACUGACACUGAAGCACGAAAGCGUGGGGAUCAAACAGGAUUAGAUACCCUGGUAGUCCACGCAGUAAACGAUGAUUACUAGCUGUUUGCGAUACACAGUAAGCGGCACAGCGAAAGCGUUAAGUAAUCCACCUGGGGAGUACGCCGGCAACGGUGAAACUCAAAGGAAUUGACGGGG